RNAcentral lists this ribosomal RNA (236 nucleotides) under uncultured bacterium. Its description in RNAcentral is "partial 16S ribosomal RNA". It matches the Rfam family "Bacterial small subunit ribosomal RNA", at positions 100 to 334 of the family's 1533-position model. The record is from RNAcentral.
CGGGACGGGUGAGUAACGCGUGGAUAACCUGCCUCACACAGGGGGAUAACAGUUAGAAAUGACUGCUAAUACCGCAUAAGCGCACGGUACCGCAUGGUACAGUGUGAAAAACUCCGGUGGUGUGAGAUGGAUCCGCGUCUGAUUAGGUAGUUGGUGAGGUAACGGCCCACCAAGCCGACGAUCAGUAGCCGACCUGAGAGGGUGACCGGCCACAUUGGGACUGAGACACGGUCCAA